CCUACGGGGUGCUGCAGUGGGGAAUAUUGGACAAUGGGCGAAAGCCUGAUCCAGCCAUGCCGCGUGUGUGAAGAAGGCCUUCGGGUUGUAAAGCACUUUCAGUGGGGAAGAAAGCCUUGGGGCUAAUACCCUCGAGGAAGGACAUCACCCACAGAAGAAGCACCGGCUAACUCCGUGCCAGCAGCCGCGGUAAUACGGAGGGUGCGAGCGUUAAUCGGAAUUACUGGGCGUAAAGCGCGCGUAGGCGGUCUGAUAAGCCGGUUGUGAAAGCCCCGGGCUCAACCUGGGAACGGCAUCCGGAACUGUCAGGCUAGAGUGCAGGAGAGGAAGGUAGAAUUCCCGGUGUAGCGGUGAAAUGCGUAGAGAUCGGGAGGAAUACCAGUGGCGAAGGCGGCCAUCUGGACUGACACUGACGCUGAGGUGCGAAAGCGUGGGUAGCAAACAGGAUUAGAUACCCUUGUAGUC
RNAcentral lists this ribosomal RNA (465 nucleotides) under Vreelandella stevensii. Its description in RNAcentral is "partial 16S ribosomal RNA". It matches the Rfam family "Bacterial small subunit ribosomal RNA", at positions 338 to 795 of the family's 1533-position model. The record is from RNAcentral. Lineage: Bacteria; Pseudomonadati; Pseudomonadota; Gammaproteobacteria; Oceanospirillales; Halomonadaceae.